RNAcentral lists this ribosomal RNA (277 nucleotides) under uncultured bacterium. Its description in RNAcentral is "partial 16S ribosomal RNA". It matches the Rfam family "Bacterial small subunit ribosomal RNA", at positions 80 to 354 of the family's 1533-position model. The record is from RNAcentral.
CUUCUCCGCCGGCGACCGGCGCACGGGUGAGUAACACGUAUGCAACCUGCCCCUGUCAGGGGGACAACCCGCCGAAAGGCGGGCUAAACCCGCGUACAUGCCACCGGGGCAUCCCGGAGGCAGGAAAGGCUUUCGGGCCGGACAGGGAUGGGCAUGCGGCGCAUUAGGCAGUAGGCGGGGUAACGGCCCACCUAACCGACGAUGCGUAGGGGUUCUGAGAGGAAGGUCCCCCACACUGGUACUGAGACACGGACCAGACUCCUACGGGAGGCAGCAG